CCUACGGGAGGCAGCAGUGAGGAAUAUUGGUCAAUGGGCGGAAGCCUGAACCAGCCAAGUAGCGUGCGGGAUGAAGGCCCUACGGGUCGUAAACCGCUUUUGCACGGGGAUAACACCCUCCACUUGUGGAGGUCUGCAGGUACCGUGCGAAUAAGGGCCGGCUAAUUCCUUGCCAGCAGCCGCGGUAAUACGGAAGGCCCGAGCGUUAUCCGGAUUCAUUGGGCUUAAGGGGAGCGUAGGCGGGCGUUCAAGUCAGCUGUAAAAUCGCGCGGCUCAACCGCGCCCCGAAGUUGAAACUGGACGCAUUGAGUUCACAACAGGCAGGCGGAAUUCGUGGUGUAGCGGUGAAAUGCAGAGAUAUCACGAGGAACCCCGAUUGCGAAGGCAGCCUGCCGGGGUGCGACUGACGCUGAGGCUCGAAGGUGCGGGUAUCAAACAGGAUUAGAUACCCCAGUAGUC
RNAcentral lists this ribosomal RNA (459 nucleotides) under uncultured bacterium. RNAcentral describes it as "partial 16S ribosomal RNA". It matches the Rfam family "Bacterial small subunit ribosomal RNA", at positions 338 to 795 of the family's 1533-position model. The record is from RNAcentral.